CCCUGGCCGGCACCCUCCAGCUGAAGAUGAGACAUAGCUCUGGGGAAAUUCCACUCUAAUUCAUUUAAGCAGAAUAAACAGAGCUCCCGCUCUGAAAGAUUCAGCCCUGAGCAAAAGACACUUGGAGUCUGUGCUGGGACACAGAUGUCCAGUGAAACAUAGAAGAAAAUCUCCAAGUCAAGCGACACGAGAGGCAGCCACUCUGACACCGAGAAGCCACGGAACCUGAUCCCAAUCACCAGAACAGAACAGACUCUCACGCUAAAGAUGCCAAAUGGAGAAGAGAAGCCCUGGAGGACAGAGGUCACGAGGAGAAGAACUGAGGCCUUUCAGCGAACAGCCAGCACCAAUGACCAGCCACAUGAGUAAGACGUUUGGAAGCAGAUCCUCAUGCCCCAGUCAGUGCUUCAGAUGGUGCAGCCAGGCCGAUGACUGCAAACUCAGGGGAAACCCCGAGUCUGUCCAGAUCUGUGGCUUGUACAUACUGCCCCACAGCAACCGUGAAAUCAUAGGAGUGUGUGUUUUAAGGUUGGCGGAGGUUUAAAGGAAUACUUUGGGGAGGCCCCUGCAAAGUCUGUCUUCUCGGAUAUGAAUGGCGCUGAUGGAAAAAGCGGAAAUGCUUUUCUGAGCGUGAACUGGACUGUCACUGUGUGGGGUAUGUCAGAGGGCUUUUUAUCAAUCUUUCAAAAAGUGCCUAUAGCGAGAAAUAUUUGCAGUUAUCCUAGAUACUAAACUUUUUGUUUGUGCCAGGGUUUUUUGGGGGGGGAUUUAAACAAAUUUUUUGUAAGUUGAGAUCUUGACCCAUUCCUUUGGGGACUAUCUCCACAUGCACUAGGAUUCUAGUGAUGAAAAAGAAGAUCAGUGGGAUAAAGUGAUACUUUUUAAGGGAAUUUAAGUGGCCUGGGGAAACUGUCCAACACGGCUGUAUUAAACCCUGCUGAUCACUAUGGAGGGGGAACACAACUGACAGGCAGAAUUGCGGGGUAAGGCAGGGGAAGGGGGGUGGGAAAAUGGAGACAACUGUAUUCGAAUGUCAGUAAAAAGCAUGCUGUUUAUAUUUUAGCAUCUUUGUGAUUGUACACUGAAUAAGAUGUCUAUUGAGGGUUUGGGGUGUACAAAAAGACCACGGUCAAAUAUCUAAGGUAUUCAGGAACCCCAGUUUGGGAACCACCAUGUCCAUUAGAUCCUUUGUUCUCUUAAUUUCUCCUUCUUUCCAUCUUUCACUGCAAAAAACCUGCAAUAUUUAUUUUUGAGUAAUCUAGUUACCAAAACAGUAUUUUAGUUCUCUGACCAGGGGAUAAUAUAU
Long non-coding RNA from Artibeus jamaicensis (Jamaican fruit-eating bat), 1306 nucleotides. RefSeq lists it as uncharacterized. The record is from RefSeq and is a predicted model, not a curated record. NCBI's taxonomy places the organism in Eukaryota, Metazoa, Chordata, Mammalia, Chiroptera, Phyllostomidae. The transcript is spliced from 3 exons.